CGUUUAUUACCCGCGUCCUUCGUUUCAAUCAAUUUCCCAAACAUUAACCUCAAACCUUCAGAGACUCAAAGUUCGGAGUGAAGCUGCUGCUGCUUCUUCUUCUCCAACGCUUGAGAGUAGAGACCAGAGAGGAAGUCAUCGUCACAGAGAGAGGCAGAGAGCAGAUCAGUAGAGCUUCUUUUUCUCCGACGAUUGAGAAAACCCGCCAUCCUCCGUCGGAGAGCAGAGCUUCUUCUUCUUCUCCUCCUCCGCCGAGCCCGCCGCCACGCCCGCCGCCGCGCCAUCCUGUUCAUGGAAGAAUCAUCUCUUGCAGUCUGAGAUUAAUCAAUAAUUUUGUAGAAGAAAAGAAGAUACCCGAGCUAUUGAAGACAUUUCCAAAUGCAUCGAAGUUUCUCAAGACACUUGUGGCUGGUUUUGAGGUAUGCAAUUCUCAAUUUGGAAGUUAUUCAAGCAGCAAUCUCUUUGGCUGGUUUUGAGGUCUUCUUGUUUCUUUGGAUUUGGCCAGUUUUGAGUGAGGAAAUUUAAGCCACCACUUAUGAAGUUAUUGGAGUCUGGAAAUAUAGACCUUUGUUUUGCCAAUCAGGAUGAAGCAACGAAACUUCAAUUGUAAUUUUUUCUGCUGGCUUCUUUCCCAAUCUCAUUCUCUUUUGCUUUGGUUGGAAAAUGUGUAGUUGACUCUACUGUGAACUGUUUGCUGUUGUGCAUUGAUCACUUGGAGAACAUGACUAACUAUACAAUGAUGGUAGUUUGGUUCACACUGCAGAAAUUUGUUCUCAAGCCAUUGCCUCCCAAUAUAGUGCAUAUCAGGAUCUGAUUCAUGAAGCUUUCUAAAGAAAGCUAGUGUUCUCAUUGCUCUUGCAAUGGCUGCUGGCACUGGAGGGGUUGUGGCUGGAGAGCUUGAACUGAAUCACGAAUGCAGUUUGAUGCACUGGUCGCCAGAGGAUUUCGAAUCUAAAUUGCAGGUUGCAUUCUUUUCUAUUACAGGUACAUAAAGUUUCGGCUGAGGAAGGGUAAUACUGGUCUUAUUUCAAGGUAAGGGUUUAUCUUCAGGUUCAAUGAGUUCGUCCACUAAUGGGAAAACCUAAGAGUCAAAUCCAGUUGAGGGUGAAGUACAAUUGGAAUUUGGAAGGACCAAAUUGCCGAAGUUUUACAUUCUUUAUCACCAUCUUUCUCUUGCUGAUUGUAUCCUUCUUGGUUUGUGUUUAUAUUAAGGCUCUGGAAGUCAUAUAACAGCAUUAAAGCAAGAUGAGUGCCAUCUCAAAUUUUGCAUUUGGCUUUCCUAUUGAAGAGGGUUAUACCUGCUAAUGAGAUUGUCAUCUAUUGAUGUCAUAAUAAAAGAUUAAAAGUACAAGCAUAUGUAUGAAAUGCUUAAAAAACACACAUUAUUUGAUUGCAUUUGGAAG
Arachis ipaensis is the source of this 1403-nucleotide non-coding RNA. The record is from RefSeq and is a predicted model, not a curated record. NCBI's taxonomy places the organism in Eukaryota, Viridiplantae, Streptophyta, Magnoliopsida, Fabales, Fabaceae.